CCAUUGAGGGAAGAAGAAAUUGUCAUCUAUAUGCUUAUAGAUCUAGAAUCAGAUUAUGACCCCUUGGUCAUCUCGCUCACAAUGAGAACCGAACCAAUUGGGCUUACUGACCUUUAUGCGCAUAUGUUGAGCUUUGAAC
Small nucleolar RNA from Phragmites australis (common reed), 139 nucleotides. RefSeq annotates it as small nucleolar RNA Z247. The transcript has a single exon. Lineage: Eukaryota; Viridiplantae; Streptophyta; Magnoliopsida; Poales; Poaceae. The record is from RefSeq and is a predicted model, not a curated record.